GCCAGGUAUGGUGGUGCAUGCCUGUAAUUCCAACAACUUGGGAGGCUGAAGCAGGAGGAUCACAUGUUUGAGACCAGCUUUGGCAAUUUAACAAGAUCAUUUCAAAAAAGUGGGGGUGGGACUGGCAGAGCGCUUGUGUGAUGUGUGAGGUCCUGGUUUGU
Molecule: small RNA, 161 nt
Filed under: Marmota monax (woodchuck)
Lineage: Eukaryota; Metazoa; Chordata; Mammalia; Rodentia; Sciuridae
Source: RNAcentral